Molecule: transfer RNA, 65 nt
Filed under: Hemigyrus spinosus spinosus
Lineage: Eukaryota; Metazoa; Arthropoda; Insecta; Orthoptera; Tettigoniidae
Description: tRNA-Cys
Source: RNAcentral
GACUUUAUAUUCAAUUUUAUGAUAUUAGACUGCAAUUCUGAAGGUGUAGUAAUUUACUAAGGUUU